CAGAGUGUAGCUAAGACAGAUAAAGCAUCUCACUUACACCGAGAAGCCACCCGUGCAAAUCGGGUCACUCUGA
Molecule: transfer RNA, 73 nt
Filed under: Cololabis saira (Pacific saury)
Lineage: Eukaryota; Metazoa; Chordata; Actinopteri; Beloniformes; Belonidae
Also listed under: 1 other name
Description: tRNA-Val
Rfam family: tRNA
About the family: Transfer RNA (tRNA) molecules are approximately 80 nucleotides in length. Their secondary structure includes four short double-helical elements and three loops (D, anti-codon, and T loops). Further hydrogen bonds mediate the characteristic L-shaped molecular structure. tRNAs have two regions of fundamental functional importance: the anti-codon, which is responsible for specific mRNA codon recognition, and the 3' end, to which the tRNAs corresponding amino acid is attached (by aminoacyl-tRNA synthetases). tRNAs cope with the degeneracy of the genetic code in two manners: having more than one tRNA (with a specific anti-codon) for a particular amino acid; and 'wobble' base-pairing, i.e. permitting non-standard base-pairing at the 3rd anti-codon position.
Source: RNAcentral